RNAcentral lists this unclassified non-coding RNA (319 nucleotides) under Hevea brasiliensis (rubber tree). Lineage: Eukaryota; Viridiplantae; Streptophyta; Magnoliopsida; Malpighiales; Euphorbiaceae. The record is from RNAcentral.
AAAAAAAAAAAAAAAGAGGACAAAACUAGUUAUUGCAAAAUCAAUCAGUCAUUUUGAUCAUUAGAAUCUAAAUCUUGUCAUCUUGUAAUUUAGUUUAUUGAGUAUAUGCUAUUUAUGUACUUCUACUGGAAAACAAUGAAACAUGUGCUAUGGCAUGUGGAUGGAGUACUUAAUUCUGGGAAGUGGUUUGACUACAUUUAUUACAAAAUGAAGUAACACUUUGUGAUCAGCUAUCCACUUUUCUUCCUUAUAAUUUCAAUCUUUUUCAUUUGUUUCUUCAUUGUUUAUUUAUUUUCCAGAUUGCUGAUGCAGUAGUGGU